UGAUUUUUUAGUUCAUUUGAUUUUGUUUUAUUCAAAGUUUUGCCACUGUUUGUCUGUUGGUAGUUUAGUUCGGGUUAGGCGUAGGAAUGGAUCGUGGUGGCCGUGGCGUAUAAUGGGAUUUCCUGAAUUUCUUGAUGGUUGCGUCCUUUCUCUGAAGGAUCAAACUCCGGUGAAGUUCUUGGGACGAUAUAAUGCAAACAUGUGGCUCAACAAGACGUGCUAGUUGAUAUGGUUGCAUAAAGUCAUUUUUACAAGCAGAGAUUGGUACACCUUAUCAACACAACUACGCAUUUUGGAGUCAUGUUACAUGAAAGAAGAGGAGAAGAGGCAUAAUUCAUCAUUUUGGCUACGCUAGG
Long non-coding RNA from Papaver somniferum (opium poppy), 356 nucleotides. RefSeq lists it as uncharacterized. The transcript is spliced from 3 exons. The record is from RefSeq and is a predicted model, not a curated record. Lineage: Eukaryota; Viridiplantae; Streptophyta; Magnoliopsida; Ranunculales; Papaveraceae.